Molecule: ribosomal RNA, 501 nt
Filed under: Triticum aestivum (bread wheat)
Lineage: Eukaryota; Viridiplantae; Streptophyta; Magnoliopsida; Poales; Poaceae
Description: partial small subunit ribosomal RNA
Source: RNAcentral
AUGAACCCUCUCCUCAGCAAGCUCACAACGCUGCUUGGCGAGGAGUACAAGAAGCUCACGGGAGUGAGGAAGCAAGUCUCCUUCCUCAAGGAUGCGCUCAGCGCCAUGAAAGCUCUCCUUGACAUGAUGGAGCUAAUGGAUGAGCUCAAUCCCUCGGCCAAGGACUGGAGGGACCAUGUCAGGGAGAUGUCCUAUGAUGUGGAGAAUUGCAUCAAUGACUUCAUUCAUCGCAUUGAGGGUGCCCAUGUAAAGAAAAUUUUUGUCAGGAAGAUGUCUCAACGUCUCAAGAGGUUGGGGAGGCGUCAUCAGAUUGCCAACCGGUACAAGGAGCUCAAGGUUCUUGUGGUGGAGGCAAAUGCUCGGCAUCCCCGGGUGUCAGCGAUCUUCAAGCAGGUAGGUCUCAUCAGUAUUGAUGGCCCGAGAGAAGAGCUUGUCAGUUGGUUGACAGAUUCACAGAAGAAACUAAGUGGUUUUCAUCUUGGGUUCAGGAGGGUUGGAUAA